Molecule: ribosomal RNA, 440 nt
Filed under: uncultured bacterium
Lineage: Bacteria
Description: partial 16S ribosomal RNA
Rfam family: Bacterial small subunit ribosomal RNA
Source: RNAcentral
CCUACGGGUGGCAGCAGUGGGGAAUAUUGGACAAUGGGGGAAACCCUGAUCCAGCGACGCCGCGUGAGUGAAGAAGUAUUUCGGUACGUAAAGCUCUAUCAGCAGGAAAGAAAAUGACGGUACCUGACUAAGAAGCCCCGGCUAAAUACGGGCCAGCAGCCGCGGUAAUAAGUAGGGGGCAAGCGUUAUCCGGAUUUACUGGGUGUAAAGGGAGCGUAGACGGCAGAGCAAGUCUGGAGUGAAAUGCCGGGGCCGAACCCCGGACGGGCCCUGGAAACUGUGUAGCUGGAGUGCAGGAGAGGUAAGCGGAAUGCGUGGUGUAGCGGUGAAAUGCGUAGAUAUCAGGAGGAACACCGGCGGCGAAGGCAGCUUACUGGACUGUAACUGACGUUGAGGCUCGAAGGCGUGGGGAGCAAACAGGAUUAGAUACCCUUGUAGUC